Long non-coding RNA from Calliphora vicina (urban bluebottle blowfly), 485 nucleotides. RefSeq lists it as uncharacterized. The transcript has 2 exons. Lineage: Eukaryota; Metazoa; Arthropoda; Insecta; Diptera; Calliphoridae. The record is from RefSeq and is a predicted model, not a curated record.
GUCUGGGAACACAUUUGGGCAGCACUAUUAUAAAUUAUUGAAUUCGCAUUGUAUUGUUGUCUUCAUCAAAGUAAAUUAAUAAUUUACUUUGGUCUUCAUUUUGAGUUGUUAAUAUUUGCCGUAUAUGCUUAUAAAAAGUAAUUAGAAAAAGUAGUAACAAAAUGAGCUCUAAAAAUAGUCAAAUAUCUUACACAGAAGAUGAGUUUGGAAAAAAAUUGGAUAGGUGUAUAUCUGACUCAAUUAUAAAAAGUUCUGGUGGACUCGUACUUGGAUCGGUUAUUUCACUUUUAUUUUUUAAGCGAAAGGCCUGGCCUAUGAUAUUGGGAACAGGUUUUGGUACUGGAGUCGCCUACAGGACUUGCGAAAAGGAUUUAAAUAUGUAGAAAAAAAUAUUUGUUUUAAUAUUUAAAAUAUAUUAAAAUAUAAGAACUUUGAUUUAUAUAGUUGAAUUUCAUUAAUUUUAUCCAAAAAUUAGUGCAUGUAAA